AGUGAACGCUGGCGGCAGGCCUAAAACAUGCAAGUCGAACGCUGUAGCAAUACAGAGUGGCGCACGGGUGCGUAACACGUGGGAAUAUGCCUUUUGGUACGGAAUAGCUCCGGGAAACUGGAAUUAAUACCGUAUGGUCCCUUCGGGGUAAAGAUUUAUCGCCAAAAGAUUAGCCCGCGCUGGAUUAGCUAGUUGGUGAGGUACUGGCUCACGAAGGCAACGAUCCAUAGCUGGUCUGAGAGGACGAUCAGCCACACUGGGACUGGAGACACGGCCCAGACUCCUACGGGAGGCAGCAGUUAGGAAUAUUGGACAAUGGGGGCAACCCUGAUCCAGCCAUGCCGCGUGAACGAUGAAGGCCUUCGGGUUGUAAAGUUCUUUAGCCGACGAUUAUAAUGACUGUAGUCGGAGAAUAAGCCCCGGCUAACUUCGUGCCAGCAGCCGCCGUAA
RNAcentral lists this ribosomal RNA (450 nucleotides) under uncultured bacterium. RNAcentral describes it as "partial 16S ribosomal RNA". It matches the Rfam family "Bacterial small subunit ribosomal RNA", at positions 29 to 523 of the family's 1533-position model. The record is from RNAcentral.